Molecule: long non-coding RNA, 692 nt
Organism: Dreissena polymorpha
Lineage: Eukaryota; Metazoa; Mollusca; Bivalvia; Myida; Dreissenidae
Exons: 3
Source: RefSeq, a predicted model, not a curated record
CAACAAAUACAGGUAGGCCUGUACAGGCACUUAGUCUGAUCAACAAAUACAGGUAGGCCUGUACAGGCACUGAGUUUAAUCAACAAAUACAGGUAGGCCUGUACAGGCACUGAGUUUAAUCAACAAAUACAGGUAGGCCUGUACAAGCACUGAGUUUGAUCAACAAAUACAGGUAGGCCUGUACAAGCACUGAGUUUGAUCAACAAAUACAGGUAGGCCUGUACAGGCACUGAGUUUGAUCAACAAAUACAGGUAGGCCUGUACAAGCACUGAGUUUGAUCAACAAAUACAGGUAGGCGUGCACGAGCACUGAGUUUGAUCAACAAAUACAGGUUUACCUUUACAAGCACUGAGUUUGAUCAACAAAUACAGGUUUACCUUUACAAGCACUGAGUUUGAUCAACAAAUACAGAUAGGCCCGUACAAGCACUGAGUUUCAUCAACAAAUACACAUAAGCUUUUACAAGCAAGAUGCACUGAACUUUGUUUAUUAUGCCCCCCUUUGAAAAAGAGGGGGUAUUUUGUUUUGCUGGGUGUCGGUCGGUAGAUCAGUUGGUUUCCCAUCAAUAAAUCGUCAACAUGUUAUCUGAUUGGCUUGAUACUUCACAUGUGCAUUGGCCUCAGUCAGUAGAUGACCCCUAUUGAAAUUGGGGUCACUAUUUCAAAGGUCAAUGUCACGGUAAGUGUGAAAA